Molecule: ribosomal RNA, 253 nt
Filed under: uncultured bacterium
Lineage: Bacteria
Description: partial 16S ribosomal RNA
Rfam family: Bacterial small subunit ribosomal RNA
Source: RNAcentral
UACAGAGGUCCCAAGCGUUGUUCGGAUUCAUUGGGCGUAAAGGGGGUGUAGGUGGCGCCGUAAGUCGGGUGUGAAAUUUCGGAGCUUAACUCCGAAACUGCAUUCGAUACUGCGGUGCUUGAGGACUGGAGAGGAGACUGGAAUUCAUGGUGUAGCAGUGAAAUGCGUAGAGAUCAUGAGGAAGACCAGUGGCGAAGGCGGGUCUCUGGACAGUUCCUGACACUGAGACACGAAGGCCAGGGGAGCAAACGGG